Molecule: ribosomal RNA, 550 nt
Filed under: uncultured bacterium
Lineage: Bacteria
Description: bacterial SSU rRNA
Rfam family: Bacterial small subunit ribosomal RNA
Source: RNAcentral
UAGGGAAUCUUCCGCAAUGGACGCAAGUCUGACGGAGCAACGCCGCGUGAGUGAAGAAGGUUUUCGGAUCGUAAAACUCUGUUGUUAGAGAAGAACAAGUGCUAGAGUAACUGUUAGCGCCUUGACGGUAUCUAACCAGAAAGCCACGGCUAACUACGUGCCAGCAGCCGCGGUAAUACGUAGGUGGCAAGCGUUGUCCGGAUUUAUUGGGCGUAAAGCGAGCGCAGGCGGUUCCUUAAGUCUGAUGUGAAAGCCCCCGGCUCAACCGGGGAGGGCCAUUGGAAACUGGGGAACUUGAGUGCAGAAGAGGAGAGUGGAAUUCCAUGUGUAGCGGUGAAAUGCGUAGAUAUAUGGAGGAACACCAGUGGCGAAGGCGACUCUCUGGUCUGUAACUGACGCUGAGGCUCGAAAGCGUGGGUAGCAAACAGGAUUAGAUACCCUGGUAGUCCACGCCGUAAACGAUGAGUGCUAAGUGUUGGAGGGUUUCCGCCCUUCAGUGCUGCAGUUAACGCAUUAAGCACUCCGCCUGGGGAGUACGACCGCAAGGUUG